UAGAGAGUGUGCAGGUAGA
RNAcentral lists this non-coding RNA (19 nucleotides) under Mus musculus (house mouse). Lineage: Eukaryota; Metazoa; Chordata; Mammalia; Rodentia; Muridae. The record is from RNAcentral.